AUGCUUCUACAGUGCCACACACAACUACGACUGCAAUCAUCCUCAUUAAAGAUGCAUCUAUCUGGAGACUACAAGCCCCACAAUGCAAUGGGGAAAUCCUUUCAAAAAGAGCUGCUUUUUGCUCUGGACCUUGGUCUUCAGUCCCUGCCUGCACAAUGUAGCUGUGCGGACAUCACUGGCAAAAUACUAAUGGUGGUAACACCUGGUGGUCCUACUUGUCUUCCAAAGAUACAUUUCUGGUAUGACAUGUUCCCAACUUGCUGCGUAGCAAUGACUGGAUGGGUGCUCAUGAAGGAGAUGUCUCAUUUCUCAUUUGUGGCUGGGAAGUCACCAGGACGCUUUCCUGAAGGACAUGUAGCCAGCUCUGCUCGCCUGGCGCGGCACUGUCCCAGCCCAGGCCAGAGACCCCUGUUCCCAGAGAAGAAUGUGCCCAAAAGAGAAGAGCUGGUCACUUGGGAAGAACUGCCUUUUGCAGUGGCUGACAGUCACAGAGACCAUUUGUGUCCCAAGGCCCGAACUCUGUCAUCUUUUGCCCCAUGUAGAAGGACAGCGGUAUGGAGCUGA
Molecule: long non-coding RNA, 564 nt
Filed under: Anser cygnoides (Swan goose)
Lineage: Eukaryota; Metazoa; Chordata; Aves; Anseriformes; Anatidae
Description: lncRNA (ENSACDG00005004568.1)
Source: RNAcentral